GGGGAAUAUUGGACAAUGGGCGAAAGCCUGAUCCAGCAAUGCCGCGUGAGUGAUGAAGGCCUUAGGGUUGUAAAGCUCUUUUACCAGGGAUGAUAAUGACAGUACCUGGAGAAUAAGCUCCGGCUAACUCCGUGCCAGCAGCCGCGGUAAUACGGAGGGAGCUAGCGUUGUUCGGAAUUACUGGGCGUAAAGCGCGCGUAGGCGGUCUAUUAAGUCAGGGGUGAAAUCCCGGAGCUCAACUCCGGAACUGCCCUUGAAACUGGCAGACUAGAAUCUUGGAGAGGCGAGUGGAAUUCCGAGUGUAGAGGUGAAAUUCGUAGAUAUUCGGAAGAACACCAGUGGCGAAGGCGACUCGCUGGACAAGUAUUGACGCUGAGGUGCGAAAGCGUGGGGAGCAAACAGG
This 403-nucleotide ribosomal RNA is filed under the name uncultured bacterium. Its description in RNAcentral is "bacterial SSU rRNA". It matches the Rfam family "Bacterial small subunit ribosomal RNA", at positions 356 to 776 of the family's 1533-position model. The record is from RNAcentral.